CCUGAGACAGGACACUGAGUGUUUCAUAAAGGAAAGAGAAAUGAGGCUGGAUGCCAAUUAUCCUAGAAUUCAAUGGUUUCAAUUUCAAACAAGGCACUUUGAGGCCUGGUGAUCGACGGAAUGGUCUUGCCAAGCUGAGGAGCAGGCUGAACUGAAGUCAUGCAUUGGCAAUCAGGGUAGAGCCAAGGAGACUUCUUCAGGACAGGGAGAGCAACUGCAUCAAACCAUAAGUUAGAGGACCACG
Molecule: long non-coding RNA, 244 nt
Filed under: Homo sapiens (human)
Lineage: Eukaryota; Metazoa; Chordata; Mammalia; Primates; Hominidae
Description: HSALNT0264343
Source: RNAcentral